RNAcentral lists this ribosomal RNA (253 nucleotides) under uncultured bacterium. Its description in RNAcentral is "partial 16S ribosomal RNA". It matches the Rfam family "Archaeal small subunit ribosomal RNA", at positions 474 to 727 of the family's 1478-position model. The record is from RNAcentral.
UACCCGCAGCACAAGUGGUGGUCAUUAUUAUUGGGCCUAAAGCGUCCGUAGCUUGCGUGUUAGAUGCCUGGGUAAAUCGAUGGGCUUAACCCAUCGAAUUCCGGGUAGACCGGCACGCUCGAGACCGGGAGAGGUGUAGGGUACUCGGGGGGUAGGGGUAAAAUCCUGUAAUCCUCCGGGGACGACCAGUGGCGAAGGCGCUACACUAGAACGGCUCUGACAGUGAGGGACGAAGCCCUGGGGCGCAAACCGG